This 575-nucleotide ribosomal RNA is filed under the name uncultured bacterium. Its description in RNAcentral is "bacterial SSU rRNA". It matches the Rfam family "Bacterial small subunit ribosomal RNA", at positions 338 to 916 of the family's 1533-position model. The record is from RNAcentral.
CCUACGGGAGGCAGCAGUGAGGAAUAUUGGACAAUGGGCGCAAGCCUGAUCCAGCCAUGCCGCGUGCAGGAUGAAGCAUCUAUGGUGUGUAAACUGCUUUUAUACAGGAAGAAACCUCCCGACGUGUCGGGAAUUGACGGUACUGUAAGAAUAAGGAUCGGCUAACUCCGUGCCAGCAGCCGCGGUAAUACGGAGGAUCCAAGCGUUAUCCGGAAUCAUUGGGUUUAAAGGGUCCGUAGGCGGGCCAGUAAGUCAGUGGUGAAAUCUCUCCGCUCAACGGGGAAAUGGCCAUUGAUACUGCUGGUCUUGAAUUAUUAGGAAGUAACUAGAAUAUGUAGUGUAGCGGUGAAAUGCUUAGAGAUUACAUGGAAUACCAAUUGCGAAGGCAGGUUACUACUAAUGGAUUGACGCUGAUGGACGAAAGCGUGGGUAGCGAACAGGAUUAGAUACCCUGGUAGUCCACGCCGUAAACGAUGGAUACUAGCUGUUGGGGGCAACUUCAGUGGCUAAGCGAAAGUGAUAAGUAUCCCACCUGGGGAGUACGUUCGCAAGAUGAAACUCAAAGGAAUUGACGG